This 466-nucleotide ribosomal RNA is filed under the name uncultured bacterium. RNAcentral's name for it is "partial 16S ribosomal RNA". It matches the Rfam family "Bacterial small subunit ribosomal RNA", at positions 28 to 507 of the family's 1533-position model. The record is from RNAcentral.
GACGAACGCUGGCGGCGCGCCUAACACAUGCAAGUCGAACGAGCGAGAGAGAGCUUGCUUUCUCGAGCGAGUGGCGAACGGGUGAGUAACGCGUGAGGAACCUGCCUCAAAGAGGGGGACAACAGUUGGAAACGACUGCUAAUACCGCAUAAGCCCACGACCCGGCAUCGGGUAGAGGGAAAAGGAGCAAUCCACUUUGAGAUGGCCUCGCGUCCGAUUAGCUAGUUGGUGAGGUAACGGCCCACCAAGGCGACGAUCGGUAGCCGGACUGAGAGGUUGAACGGCCACAUUGGGACUGAGACACGGCCCAGACUCCUACGGGAGGCAGCAGUGGGGAAUAUUGCACAAUGGGGGAAACCCUGAUGCAGCGACGCCGCGUGGAGGAAGAAGGUCUUCGGAUUGUAAACUCCUGUUGUUGAGGAAGAUAAUGACGGUACUCAACAAGGAAGUGACGGCUAACUACGUG